AACGAACGCUGGCGGCGUGCCUAACACAUGCAAGUCGCGCGCGAAAGUCUUCGAUGAGUAGAGCGGCGCACGGGUGAGUAACACGUGGGUAAUCUGCCCUUGGGUCUGGAAUAACUCGGCGAAAGCCGAGCUAAUACCGGAUAAAACUAGCUUACGAAAGUGAGUUAGGAAAAGCGGAGGACUUCUUCGGAAGCUUCGUGCCAGAGGAUGACGCCCGCGGCCCAUCAGCUAGNGGCGGGGUAAUGGCCCACCAAGGCUAAGACGGGUAGCUGGUCUGAGAGGAUGAUCAGCCACACUGGAACUGAGACACGGUCCAGACUCCUACGGGAGGCAGCAGUGGGAAUCUUGCGCAAUGGGCGAAAGCCUGACGCAGCAACGCCGCGUGUGUGAUGAAGGUCUU
Molecule: ribosomal RNA, 400 nt
Filed under: uncultured bacterium
Lineage: Bacteria
Description: bacterial SSU rRNA
Rfam family: Bacterial small subunit ribosomal RNA
Source: RNAcentral